This is a long non-coding RNA of Trifolium pratense (red clover), 1406 nucleotides long. RefSeq lists it as uncharacterized. The record is from RefSeq and is a predicted model, not a curated record. NCBI's taxonomy places the organism in Eukaryota, Viridiplantae, Streptophyta, Magnoliopsida, Fabales, Fabaceae. The transcript is spliced from 2 exons.
UUAAACCGUUAAUUUUACCAAACACUUCAAUUAGCUUAUUAGCUGGUAUAAACUAUCAGCCAUUAACUAUAACCUAUAAACUAGCUUAUCAGCUAACUGCUAUUUUUACCAAACGGUGUCUUAACCUAUUUGGUCGUUAAAAAAUUGAAAAUUGUCCUUUUUUUUACUUAGUUUCACGGGUUUUUUUUUUUGAACGGCUUUAAUUUUAUUAAUAAGCACAACACCUAAAUACAAGUAGUAUUUGGUGAGACAAAGUAACAAACUUACAAAAAAUAGGCACAAAAAGUGCACAGUAGGCGGCCAAGCACAUAAAGCUUAACACACCAAAUGAAAACGCAACCAACAACACUGCAGUGGUAAAGAAACAGCAGAAGCAGCAUAGACAACGAACAACACAACCCAAUAAGGCACACAAAAAACACAGCUCAUACUCAUCCAUGAAAACAAUCAAUUGGGUUCCAAUUCCACUCAUAAAUGAGGCACGGGGACUUCGCCACUCUACUGAUGAACCACUUCCAAGAUAGAGUUUUAAUUUGGUCCACCAAAUCUUCAAACACCACUUCCUUAGUUUCACGGUCUGAUGCUACUUUUAUUGACAUAAUGAAAUUCUGGUCAAAUUGAUAUUUUUUUAUUUUUAAUCUUGAUCAAGUCAAGUUAUUAUAUUAAAAGUUUCAAGGAUUAAUUUAAGAGUUUUAACUAUAUCGAACAACAUCAGCAAAAAAAUUUAGUCACUAAAUCGGACACUAACAAAAUAUGGAGACCAAAUUAGAGAUUAGUGACGAAAAAUCAGUCGCUAAAUUUGUUGUUAACAAAUUUUAUAAUUAUCUAAUCUAAGAUUUUAUAUAUUUUAUAAUUAUCUAAGAUUUUAUUUUAUUUUUUCUUAAAAAAAAAUUAUUUUAUUUAUUUUAUUUAACAGAUUUUUGUCGUUAAAACCUUUUUUGAAAAAGAAAUUGUUAUAUUUUUUCGUUCUCUCACAUAUCCCAAGGGCCAACCCUCAUACGUUCACUCGUUCUUUUUACAAAUCGAUUCACUCUUUCUCUUCUCUUCUAUUUUUUUGCUCCAGUUGAACAAGGGUUUCCCCCAAACCUUACGCUCAAACCCUAAAACCCGCAGAGCCACCGUGAACUGUGAGCAAUUACAUCAACCGAAAUCACUACCGUCAUACCAUUUGAUCACACUGAUUGUUCUCCAUGCGACACCCACCGUAAAGACAACGGAUCUCUAAUCAGCGACGAUGUUCUUGUUCUGUCAGCGCUCUUCACCGUCGCAGUCGUAUAGCUGAUUCUAAUUAUCUGGUUGGUGUGACUGGAAAUCUCAGCCACAAUCAAAUAGUAGGUUGCUACAAAUUAAGAAAGAGGUUCUUCAAUUUAAGGCUUUACAAUCAAAUAGUAUUUGCUCCAGGUAUG